CCUAAACUUUCUCUAUGCCUUCCACUUGCUAAAAUUAUACAUAGGCUUUGUUAAGUGAGCUGUGUGAUGCGCCAGAAAGCAGGGAAGGCGGGCUAAGAAAGAUGCAUUUGAAAGUGUGCCAAAAGAAGCUCGGGGAGAUUUGACAUCAGAUUUUGGAUGACGGGAAACAUGCAUUCAAAAGCAAGGCGUUGUUUGGUUUUUACGGAAAUUCUCUUUCUGCUCCUGAAAUCCGGGAUCCUUCUGUGCAGUGCUGAGAAGAUCACCCAAGAACCCUUCAUGGUUGGAUCAGAUGGAAAAGAGGUGAAUCUGUCUUGCAUUCACCCCUCGGCUGAAUCAUCCACGGAUAGCAUCUUUUGGUACCGGCAAUUUCCUAACCAGGGUCCUGAGUUUGUUGUGUCAGGAUACCGUGGAGAAGCAAGGAGUAGCAACCUAAAGGAUGUCUUAUUGUUGAUCUCUGGAGAUCGAAAAUCCAGCAAUUUGUCCUUUUCCAGAGCGACCUUGGAGGACACUGCGAUGUACUACUGUGCUCUGAGUGACACAGUGAGACAUCCUGGUGUCUUUGCUGUGCAGGAACCAUGAACGAAGGUGCUGCAUUUGAUGCAGGGAAGAUCAGGCCUUUAAAAACAUCUGUAGUUGAAGGAGAGGUUCUUCACUUGACUUGAUGGACAUUUAGGACAUAAGGUCCACAUCACAAACUUGG
Molecule: non-coding RNA, 700 nt
Organism: Anolis carolinensis (green anole)
Lineage: Eukaryota; Metazoa; Chordata; Lepidosauria; Squamata; Anolidae
Source: the annotation of a RefSeq genome assembly